RNAcentral lists this small RNA (624 nucleotides) under Gonium pectorale. RNAcentral's name for it is "eukaryotic LSU rRNA". The stretch from base 220 to 373 matches the Rfam family "5.8S ribosomal RNA". Lineage: Eukaryota; Viridiplantae; Chlorophyta; Chlorophyceae; Chlamydomonadales; Volvocaceae. The record is from RNAcentral.
AAUCUAUCACAAUCCACAACCGUGAACUUUAAUGUUGGCCUCUCAGUGAGCCUUAGGGUUUGCUGAGGCUAGGCGUUUGCUAAAUCUUUUAGCAUAUGCCUAGGCCGUUGCCUUGGCAUUUAUGCCUGGUGACGUCGGUCUUUACCAACCAACUAAAACCAAACCAAACCAAAUAAAAAUCGAGUGCACAGCUUAGAGCUGUCGCUCACCAACCAAGACAACUCUCAACAACGGAUAUCUUGGCUCUCAGAUCGAUGAAGAACGCAGCGAAAUGCGAUACGUAGUGUGAAUUGCAGAAAUACGUGAAUCAUCGAAUUUUUGAACGCAAAUUGCGCUCGAGGCUUCGGCCAAGAGCAUGUCUGCCUCAGCGUCGGGUUAAUACUCACUCUCUCCCACCUUGUGUGGGUUAUAUAGAGUGGAACUGGCUGUCCCGGAAAUCCUCACACGAUUGCCGGGUCAGCUGAAGUGCAGAGGUUGAUGCAUGGACCCGCUAAAGGGCCUCUACUGGGUAGGCAACUUGUUGCUAAUGCUUUAGUAGAUGGCUUGGGACUGUGCUUGUCGACCCAAACCAGGAACUUGGUCUCGACCAAGCAAACCCCAUUUUCGACCUGAGCUCAGGCAAGA